This 581-nucleotide ribosomal RNA is filed under the name uncultured Sedimentibacter sp. RNAcentral's name for it is "bacterial SSU rRNA". It matches the Rfam family "Bacterial small subunit ribosomal RNA", at positions 897 to 1475 of the family's 1533-position model. Lineage: Bacteria; Bacillati; Bacillota; Tissierellia. The record is from RNAcentral.
AAACUCAAAUGAAUUGACGGGGACCCGCACAAGCAGCGGAGCAUGUGGUUUAAUUCGAAGCAACGCGAAGAACCUUACCAAGGUUUGACAUCCCCUUGACAGAAGCAGAGAUGUUUCCUCCCCUUCGGGGGCAAGGGAGACAGGUGGUGCAUGGUUGUCGUCAGCUCGUGUCGUGAGAUGUUGGGUUAAGUCCCGCAACGAGCGCAACCCUUAUCCUUAGUUGCCAGCAGGUUAAGCUGGGCACUCUAAGGAGACUGCCGGUGAUAAACCGGAGGAAGGUGGGGAUGACGUCAAAUCAUCAUGCCCCUUAUAUCUUGGGCUACACACGUGCUACAAUGGUCGGUACAAAGGGAAGCGAAAGAGUGAUCUGGAGCAAAUCUUCAUAAACCGAUCCCAGUUCGGAUUGUAGGCUGCAACUCGCCUACAUGAAGUUGGAGUUGCUAGUAAUCGCGAAUCAGAACGUCGCGGUGAAUGCGUUCCCGGGUCUUGUACACACCGCCCGUCACACCAUGGAAGUUGGUAAUACCCAAAGUCGCUGAGCUAACCGCAAGGGGGCAGGCGCCUAAGGUAGGAUUAAUGAC